UGUGUAAGCGCAGCGAUGCGUUGAGCUAACCGGUACUAAUGAACCGUGAGGCUUAACCUUACAACGCCGAAGCUGUUUUGGCGGAUGAGAGAAUUUCAGCUUUGAUUCAGAGUCCGAAGGAUUUUGCGCUGAGACAAGGCGGCAAAUGAAGCGAAGGAAGGAGCAUACUGAAGUAUGUGACUGACUUUCGCGAAUGCAGCCGACGCAGUAUCAGCACAAAAGACACAGGACAGAGCACA
This 239-nucleotide ribosomal RNA is filed under the name Escherichia coli P0298942.10. Its description in RNAcentral is "partial 16S ribosomal RNA". The record is from RNAcentral. Lineage: Bacteria; Pseudomonadati; Pseudomonadota; Gammaproteobacteria; Enterobacterales; Enterobacteriaceae.